AAGAUUUUGGAAAGCAAAGAGUGUGUGUCUGGUUAAUACGCUUCCAUAAAAAUCUUCCCUGAAUAUUCAGCUGACAAUCGAGGGUUGGAGAAUAGUGACCAGAGGGAUCGAGUCACCAGAGUAGCAGAUUUACCUUUCAGCUUGGUGUCAGAAAGUGGGAUUGUAGCCAAAACCAUUUUGGGUAAGUAGUAAUUCCUUGUGUCUAUCUUGACGCCCUGAAUCUAUGAUCCCCAUGGUUUUGUAAGUCUACAUCAUUUUAGGAAAGGUUAUUUAGUAUAUGUGUUUUAUGUGACUCAGUUUUACAUAAGGUCCCGUUAAAUUAGUCUAGUAAGGGAACUAGACAGAGAGAUAUGUAUUUCUAGUAAGUGAACUAGAGAAGGUCUAAUAAGAGAAUUAGACAGAUAAAAGGAAGUCUAUAAAGUGAUAUAGACAGAGAAUUUAGUAUAUAAGUGAAUAUACUACGAUAGUGUGCACAGAGUUUCAGGUUCACCUUGUCCACCCUCUAAUUGUCAUUAGUUAAGUCUGGUUGUGAGUGUGACUAAGUGUUUGAAAGAUUUGUCCUAGGAAUGGGAAAUUACCAUGCAAGAAUAUGAAGUAGUUAAUUUUUCUUGUUCAUAUGUAUUUUAUGCUUAAACAAGGUUUAUAAUCAUUAGUACUGACUGUAAGGAUAUGAAAUAGUUAAACUCUUUUUGUUUUAUAUGCUAACCCUGAAAAUAUACUCACUGAGAAUCUUGUUAAAGCACAUUUGUAGUGUCCAUGUCUUUAUUGCAAACAAUGAUUCUCCAUCAAUUGGGUGAUUGUCUAUAUUGGGGACACACUUUGGUAAGUUAGUAGUGUGUCCACCCUGAGUCAGCAGUAUGGGAAAUGUAAGUUCUGGUCCUGAGUGACCAAUAUAUAUACAUAUAUAUAUGAUAGCAGUACUGUAUAUUAGAAAAGAACUGGCUCGCAGGUUUUGCCUGAUAGACCUACUUAAAUCUUUUGCUUUAUUCUUUCUGUCGCAUAGAAGUAUAAGUUUAUUACUCUGCUUUAUUGCAAGUUAUUUCACAUGGGAUCUGUGUGCCUGGUAUGAUUGUUACUUUAAUACCAUAAGCCCACUACACUUUCUAUGAGAGUGGGAUAGUGUAAGUGUGUUGCAUUGUUUGCAUGAUGAGCUCAGUAUUUUUAGAACUGAGACAAAAAGUCACUUCAUUAGUAUUUGAAAGUUAAUUCCACAUAUGGGAUUAAUUGUAUAGAACACCAAUCAGCACAUCUUCCAUGCCCUGUGUGUUUCUUGCAGAGGAUCCAUACUGUAAAUAUGAUUUUUGUUUGUAAAUAAGAGCAACAUUUACAUUUUCAGCGGUCCAACACGUGCUUCAUUUUGCGCUGUAAACUAACCUUUUUUAUUGCAACAGAUUCCUUUUAAAUGAUCCAGUGUAAUAACUACUGCAUAUGUUUUGUGUCUUCUGUGUCUAACAUUAUAUGUGUUAUGUUCUUUUAAAUUGUGGUAUAUAGCCUGGAUCAGAGAUAAUGGACAAAGGUUUUUACCUGUGUUACUAAGGCUCUUGGAGACUGACCGGUCAAUAAAAAAUUUUAAGUCUCUGAGAGUUCUGUAAGAUUCUGGUGAAACCAUGUCUGUGUAAUCUGGUCCAAAUGUAUGCUCAAUUUCUAUAAGAUUUAAGUUGAUGCAGUAUCAUCUCAGGUUAGUUAAUGGAAGUUUCAUACAAAUAUUUGAGUUAUGAGCGCGCUAUAUAAAUGGAUCCUUUCUCUAUAUACAAUACUAUAGUAGAUUAAAGUAAUGAAGUUAAUAAGAAUUAAAAUAAAUAAAUAAAUAAAAAGUAUACAUAAGAAUCCCUAAAAUAAAUCUAAUAUAAACUAAAAUUGGUAUACCUUACAAUAAUAUGUUCUGAGUACAGCUGUUAACUGUUUAUUCUGUGUAAAUGGUGACUGUGAUAAUGUGUGAAGUUUGCAGCUUAACUGGAAAGUGGUUUAAUUUAUAUGUUGCUGUGUUGUUUUAAAUUAUAUUUGAAUCAGUUUGUCUCAGUCUAGUGAUACUGAUAAAAAUGCCAGUCAAAUAACCUAGCAAAUAACUGUUUUAUUAGCUGUUGACUACUAGCAUUUUGGCCAAGAGGAGUUGGAGUAGUUCCAUCAGGCUCUGUGUUGUGUUCUGAUAUAGCUAUAUGGGAAUGGAGAUUUGGAGGUGUUAGUUUAAGACUGCUUUCAUAUUGUGUCUACCCGUGUUUCCUAGGAGAGACACAGAGAGUGUAGUUGCGUGCCCAAGAAUGUGUUUUCUGUAUUGGCAUAUCUGCUGGGUAUCCAUUAUGUGUUUUCUGCUACGUCUGUUUUGUGAGAUGUCUGUUUUGUGAGAUGACAUGUAAUAUUACAUUGGAUGCUGAGUAUGAGUUAUAUGGUUUGAAAUGAAUUGGUGUGUUAUGUGUUUUAUGUAUUUUAUUGUCCAUUGUGUAGGAGUUUAACUAUCAGAGUGAUUUGCAUAUCAUUAACGCAAGCAUUUAGUGUUUUUACAAAAGGUGAAAUGCUGUCCAGCCGGCUAGAAUGAAACAAUUGUAUGCUAUCGCUCCUGGAGCAAGAAAAGCGCUUGUUACAUCCCACGUGAAAGGGGCCCCGCAAACUUCUGCUGUUCAAAUCGUGGGUCCACGUUUACAUUUGCAAAUUGAUUAAUCCUGAAGUCAUUCUUUUAAAAAGGAUAAAAAGGAUUGAAUGGACAAGAUGUUUCUCCCUCAUAAAGGAGUUCUAAUAGGGGAGUAUUGUCCAUCUCAGAGUUAACUCUACUUUUAAAGUAUAUUGCAAUGUUUGUGUCAAAGUAAGAUUCAUCUAGUAUGCCUCAUUGAUUAUGGGGUAAUAAUAACAUGGUAUUUUUAAUAGAGAUUAGACAAUUUCUGAAAUUUAUAAGUGAGGUAAUUUUAAUCUCCUAAACUACUGUAUUAUAUUUGUAUGGGUAAAUUGAAAGCAUUUUGCAGAUCCAGAAGAGUAUUAAUAAAUAAUAUAAUAAUCUCACUAGGAGCCAAAUUAUGCAAAGAGGCUAUCCAAAGUAUGCACUAACGGGUUAAACUUGUUUUCUUGAUAAGCGUAUAACAUUUAGUUUUGUGGUUAGACUUUUUAUACUCAAUUUGAAAUAAGUCCCAACUACAUCCUUGCACGGCACCAGGUACAGGAAGCUAUAUGCGUUUUGAAAAUUUGCAAGGUCUUAGUGUUUUCAAUAUAUUAUAAUAAUGGAAAAGUACCUAACCGCAUGUCUGCAUUACGCUCAUGACACAGACUGUCAGUAUUGCAAGCCCUAUAUGAAGGCUAUGCCUAUAUGUAUAUACCCCUAGACAACCUUGCUUUAUAUACAAAAUUUAACUAUCCAUUCAACCUUUAAAAGCUUAUUAAUAUUAUAUCUGUGUGGUACACAAAGAGGGGGUGUGAGUUAGGUAAUCCCAUCCUGCAUAUGGAAUAAAGGCAGAGGUAGAGGAUUUGGUCAAAGGGUCUAACUUUUGUAGAGGUAACAACUUCAGCAUUGGUGGAACACACUGUUCUAAUUGUGGAUAGCAGGGUCACUGGAAAAAUGAGUGCCCAAACCCACCCCCACAUAUUCCUCAAUACCAACCAUAGCUUCCAACCAACCCCAGCCUAAUACACAGGUGGUUCAGGUUUGUAAUAUUUUAUAUAGUUUAAGGUGUUAAUCCAAGAGUAUUGAAUUAUUCGGGAUUAUUAAAGUAAUUAAUUUUGAAUAUCAAAUCAAGGUUCCAGUUUAGGAACAGAGUUUUAUUGGGAAUUAUCCCCAUAUGUAUAUGUUAGUGUUUUAAAAUUCAUCCUAACAAGGAUUUCUAUAGAGUGAGUGCUACUCUCAUCCGUACAAAGGCAUUCCAAAGGGGUAUUAUGUAAAACUUCAUAGAAGACAGAUUGCAUAAAAUAUAAGAGAAGUACAUGUUACACAAAUUAAGGGUUUAACCUUAAUCUCUAAUUUAAGUUUUAGCCUAGGUAAUUAAUUCAUGUUGUAUUGAUUCUUAUGUUUGUAUGAUUGUAGAGACCGUCCUGGAGUGUUUGUGCCGCCUGAUUUCUGGGACUACACACCAAUCUCUCUGGCUGACCAUGCAAUAAGUAUUUUGCAAUUACAUCUGUUUGGUCAUUAUCCAUGCAGGCCGAAGAAACUGAGAUACUUAUUUACGAGGACAUAAACUUUGCACGCAAGAACCUGGAAAGUCCUGAAGGUGCAGUGCUGUCUAAUGCCGCUGGUUCUGUAAUAACCCUUUCAACCAUUGGGGUGUUGCACAGAGCUUUGUGGUGAAAAUCCAGCAAACAAAAGAAGAACUAAGAACUAUGUGGAAGCUGACAUUGUCUUGUUGUCAGCCAUAUUCCUACCCUUAUCCAUUUUAUAGAACAAAAUGUCUGGUGUCUAAACUAAUUUCUUUAUACUCUGUGAAAGACUUAUUCUAUUUUUCUGAACUAUGCUGAACUAUUGAACUAUUUUUAUUUUUAUUUUUGUAGAGUUAGCCAGAGAGAGAGGAAGUGUUAGCUGACCCAGGGAUGGAUGUACUAUGUGUGUUUUUAUAUAUGUUGAGUGUGCCAAGGAUGGAUUCCCAUGUUUUGAGGAACUGCGUGAGGAUAUGACUGGUUUUGACUGGACUUUUGGAAUAGGGAAAUGGUUAAAAGAUAUAGGACGCAAGGUCCUGGUUGUGCAAUAAUAUAGUUGCUAUAAGCCCAAGUUCCAUUCUGUCUUAAACAUCCAUUUUCUAUAUAUCUGUCUGCAAAAGUAUUAAGUGGUUUUUGUUUUGUUUUUUUUUCUGCUGAGUUUCUGUUUCUUGUAGACCACAUGAUUGCUUGGGAAUGCCAUAAUGUGGAAAUUUCUCUGUCUUGGGAGAAUGUUAACCGAUGAUAUGAGCAAUAUAUAUUGCUCAAAGAGGGGUAACAAUUGUGAUUAUUGGGGCUCAGUUGGAUGGAACACCGGGACAGAUUGGGGCCACAGAAUGCAUUAGAUAAAAAGGAUAAGAAUGGGAAGUCCCUCUUGACUAGAAUGACCCUAACAAAGUACCCCUAUAGGGCAAACUG
Molecule: long non-coding RNA, 5025 nt
Filed under: Pelobates cultripes (western spadefoot toad)
Lineage: Eukaryota; Metazoa; Chordata; Amphibia; Anura; Pelobatidae
Source: RNAcentral